AUCAACUCUGCUAUUCCUUUUUCCCUUUCCCUCUCUUUGGCAAACCUCACCGCGUGACACAUUGUACAAUAGUUUUUAAAAAUGCAAAGCUAAUGCUUGCACAGCAUGAAAGGGGGUAGCGAUGCCAGUUCAUUUGCCUUGUUCCUGAAAAAGACGAAAGAUUUCUAUGUGCUAUUUCAGUCAAGAUUAGGCAUGAAAGAAUGGCCUCCCCAAGCUCAAAAGCAGAACUAGAAAAACCCACAGGGACGAAUUUCUGUUUGAUCUGUUGGAGGCAGGCCCUUGUACACAGGGCUGAUGUUUCAAAGCAGAGGCCCUUCCUAAAAGAUGGAAAAUAGCAGAACACUUGUUUGUGUUGAGGAACAGCUUUUGAUUGGCUUGUGCUCAUUACAGGAUUUUGUCCUAAAUCCAAACUCAGAGAAUCUGGGGAGAUUAUAUCUUUUAGAGAAGGUACUGCUAGG
RNAcentral lists this ribosomal RNA (458 nucleotides) under uncultured bacterium. RNAcentral describes it as "partial 16S ribosomal RNA". The record is from RNAcentral.